Molecule: long non-coding RNA, 500 nt
Filed under: Gallus gallus (chicken)
Lineage: Eukaryota; Metazoa; Chordata; Aves; Galliformes; Phasianidae
Description: long non-coding RNA NONGGAT007277
Source: RNAcentral
AUUUACCUUUCUUCCUGGUUAGAGCCCAGAUGUGAACCCAAUCAAGUGCCCUCCUGAUGCCUUCUGCCCUGUGGGCAGCACUGAGCCCCAGUACUGCAUGGAGAUCUUCCUGUACAAGGUGGGCAGCUCCUGCCAGCUGACGCCACUGGUGAUCGUCCUCCUGGCCCUCUUCUCAGCAGGCGCAAUUCUUAUAAUCUUUGUACUAAUUCUGAGAAGAAGGCAAGAACACAGCACAAAGUCUUUGAAGUCCCUGCUGCUACCACAAGGAUCAGAGCAGCACACAACGUAUGGAGUGAUGGAGCACACAGAGCCGGUGUAUGCUGGCUGGUAGAGGGGGAAAGGCAACCUGCAAGCACUGUGUUCCCUUUUCUGUAGGGUAAUGCACGCGUGUGUAUAUGUGAAAGAAGUUUGACCGUCACCAACCUAUUUCCGUAUUGCUAAAAUAAGCACAGAGAAAUGAAAUGCAAGUCAUUUUUCAGCUGUGCCUUUCUGUGCUGACC